This 1038-nucleotide long non-coding RNA is filed under the name Capsicum annuum. Its description in RNAcentral is "long non-coding RNA (CANN_LNC007228)". The record is from RNAcentral. Lineage: Eukaryota; Viridiplantae; Streptophyta; Magnoliopsida; Solanales; Solanaceae.
UCUUGCUAGUUUACUCAGUCUGUUCUUCGACCAAUAUCCUAGUGGGAGGCUGGGAAACUUGACCCACAAGGGAAUUUAUCUUAAAAACUCAGGGUUGUAUUCAAAAUCCAAGGACCAAUUCCUCAAUAUCAUUGGCCUAUUCCUGUACAUAUAUGGUCUUGAUUGCAUCACUAGGUCUCUAUCUGCUGUAGAAGCAAAUUUAAACACAUAAUAGUCGUGACACCAGACAUUUGGUUUAGAGACAAAAUUCUAUACAUGAGCUAUAUAGUUUUCCAUUGUUUUGAAGUAUGGGGAAUCUCCCAGCACAUAUCCAAUCAAAGCAGUGCUCCAGUAAUUCAGUUGCUAGUAGAUAUCUUUAUCCUUAAUUUCCACUACUAUCUUCUCUCUCUUUACCGAUGGGACGAUGUAAGUGAGUAGUUGUCCUAUUUGGAAGCUAAUAUUUUGGGCUUCCACCUGCUCCAUCACCAUCUCUACCUUCUUCUCCUAUUUCCUAAUUUGUUCCUCUUGAGUCGAUAUGCCAGCUCCUCCCGGUGUGGUAUGAGUUGAAGAACCAGCUCAGAGAAUUAAAGUCACCAAGGAAACUGUGAAUCCUCCGGUCUGCUAUAAAUUCUCUUCCCAUCUGGGUCUAGAUGUAGCUCCAUGACUGCCUCUAAUUCUUUUUCCUCACAGAUAGAUUAGAUUGAGUGAGGUAAGAAGUUACCAAAUGUUAAUGGCGCUAGUUUCUGUUGUAUUCUUCUUGCUGGAGUAAUAAUUUCCAUCGGCUAUGGUGCCGUAGUCAGUCGUGUGGGCAUUCCAUAUUAUACGCAUAUGUUAGCUACCAUGCUAUCAUGCGCCCAGAGCAUCAUACCGGCCCAGGCAUUUUUAAAGGUGGGUCAAUUCAACGAUCACUAUUUCAGUUCUCAAGAUUCAUACUUGUGAAAAUCUUCACAAAGAACUCUUUGAGGCAAAGUGUUCUAGUGCUAUCACACCUCUGCUUGAGUACCAAACCAAAAAAAAAUUAUUAAUCAAAUACACUGCUAACUACUAACUCUAAUAAAG